AGUUAUUUACGCAGCAAUCACAAUGGAACAAUUAAGAUAAAAAGAUAUUAGAAAUAAGAGAAUAUAAAUAGAAAAAUCAAGUAGAUUAGUGAAGAGAAUUGGAACUCAUCAAGAUUUCCUUUGUAACGAGAACUUAGUUACAGAAACCCAACAAUUGAACUCUGACUGAAAAUUGCAACAGCAGCAAGAAUUGAUCUGUGGACCAUGAAAAUAGCCUCGAACAAACUUUCAGAACUUGAACAGGACCAACAAAACCUCCUCAACUCUAUUUUUGAAGAUCGUGUGUGUAUGGCUGAAGAAGCAACGAAAGGGUUGCUGUGUCGAGUUGUUCUUUGACGGAGUAUGGGUACGGCUGGUGUUCAAACGAUUGCUGUUGAUCUGGAGUGAAGAAGGAGUGGUGCGAUUCGCUGAGGGGUGCUUUCUGGCGGGUCUGAUGGUGUCUAUGGUGGUUGUUCGUUGAUGGUUAGAGAAGAUGGCAGAGGUGGCGAUGGGAUCUCCAACGAGUUGGAUGGUGUCCAGGUGGGGGUGGGCGAUGCUUACUUAGGUCUCCUAGGUUUAGCUUCUGUAGUGUGGAGGUUUUCUCCAUGGUUAGUUCUCUAGGUGUUUUUUGUGUUCUUGUGUAAUAAGUUGAAGAAGAAGAAGAAGCUAGUAGCAAUGGAUGUCCCCCAAGUUCUGUCGGUGUUGCUGGUUGCUCAAAAUAAAAGGGGUAGUUGUUUUUGAUAAAAAAAAGACGGAUGGGGUGGAGGGGUUGUGUACCGUAUUUCUCUGGAGUGACGGGUGAUGGUUGUUUUUGGGUCUUGAAUAUGGAAGAUGAAGGCUAGGGUUCUGUUGUUGUCUCCAUUGAAGAAGAAGGUAUCCUAAGGUUAAAGAUGAAGAAUAUCCGUGUGUCCGGACGGCCCAUCUCCUCUUUUUCUCUUAGGCUUUUUUUUUUUGGGAUUUUUACAUAUACAUCCCAUAUAGUAAACCUUAUAACCACUCAUGUUUAAGGUUUGUGUUUAUUACAUUUAAGUAUACCACCUUUCAAUUUAUGUACCAGAAUUAUAUUUAAGGUUAAUG
This 1056-nucleotide long non-coding RNA is filed under the name Nicotiana benthamiana. RNAcentral describes it as "long non-coding RNA (NBEN_LNC012669)". Lineage: Eukaryota; Viridiplantae; Streptophyta; Magnoliopsida; Solanales; Solanaceae. The record is from RNAcentral.